Molecule: ribosomal RNA, 460 nt
Filed under: uncultured bacterium
Lineage: Bacteria
Description: partial 16S ribosomal RNA
Rfam family: Bacterial small subunit ribosomal RNA
Source: RNAcentral
CCUACGGGGGGCAGCAGUGAGGAAUAUUGGUCAAUGGACGAGAGUCUGAACCAGCCAAGUAGCGUGAAGGAUGACUGCCCUAUGGGUUGUAAACUUCUUUUAUAUGGGAAUAAAAUGUUCCACGUGUGGGAUUUUGUAUGUACCAUAUGAAUAAGGAUCGGCUAACUCCGUGCCAGCAGCCGCGGUAAUACGGAGGAUCCGAGCGUUAUCCGGAUUUAUUGGGUUUAAAGGGAGCGUAGGUGGAUUGUUAAGUCAGUUGUGAAAGUUUGCGGCUCAACCGUAAAAUUGCAGUUGAAACUGGCAGUCUUGAGGACAGUAGAGGUGGGCGGAAUUCGUGGUGUAGCGGUGAAAUGCUUAGAUAUCACGAAGAACUCCGAUUGCGAAGGCAGUUCACUGGACUGCAACUGACACUGAGGCUCGAAAGUGUGGGUAUCAAACAGGAUUAGAUACCCGUGUAGUC